This 254-nucleotide ribosomal RNA is filed under the name uncultured bacterium. RNAcentral describes it as "partial 16S ribosomal RNA". It matches the Rfam family "Bacterial small subunit ribosomal RNA", at positions 524 to 776 of the family's 1533-position model. The record is from RNAcentral.
UACAGAGGUCUCAAGCGUUGUUCGGAUUCAUUGGGCGUAAAGGGAGCGUAGGCGGCGUGGUAAGUCAGAUGUGAAAUCCCGGGGCUCAACCCCGGAACUGCAUCCGAUACUGCCAUGCUAGAGGAUUGGAGAGGGUAGCUGGAAUUCUUGGUGUAGCAGUGAAAUGCGUAGAGAUCAAGAGGAACACUCGUGGCGAAAGCGAGCUACUGGACAAUUCCUGACGCUGAGGCUCGAAGGCUAGGGUAGCGAAAGGG